This 27-nucleotide non-coding RNA is filed under the name Homo sapiens (human). The record is from RNAcentral. Lineage: Eukaryota; Metazoa; Chordata; Mammalia; Primates; Hominidae.
AGAAGAAGAUUGAAGAUCUCCAGAGGC